RNAcentral lists this long non-coding RNA (2875 nucleotides) under Apis mellifera (honey bee). RNAcentral's name for it is "uncharacterized LOC100577654". The record is from RNAcentral. Lineage: Eukaryota; Metazoa; Arthropoda; Insecta; Hymenoptera; Apidae.
CAUGAUAAUUGUAUACCAAGAAGCAUUAAGUUUAUAUAAAAAUGUGUCUUAAUACUAUUCAACAUACAAAUCGUUUUAUAGAAUCGUCUCUGUACAAUAACUGACCCACAUCGAUUUGCGAGCUUAGCAUAUACAUUUCAUGUUCGUACGUAUUUUUUUCGAAGACAACACGAUUCGAUUUGAAAGGUAUAACGGCAAUCAGAUUUUUCUACAACGACUAACAAUUUCCAGCUAUUUCUUCCUCGUAGAUGGAUCUAAAAAAAUAAUCUGUGCCUAUAAAUAGUCUGUUUGUCUGUAUUGAAUUCAAAUAUCUUAAAGCCAUUAAGAGUUUAACAUAAUUUUAACAUUUAACUCGAAACGUUGAACAUAAAAUUGCUCUAUAUUUUAAGGAUUCUCUAAACUACUUUCACUUAGAUCAAAACUAUGUUAGAUCGUAUCUAAAGCACGUUCGACAACCUUCAUAGAAUUCUUUAUAUGUAUAAUGUCUACAUAAAAAUAAUUAAUUUCAGGAAAAAUUUGAAAGAAUAACGGGCAACGAAACAAUGAAUCGGGAAAAUUGGUGAAAGUUCUCGCGUAAGAGGAUAAACUCGAUCAUCAGUGCCAGAAAUAGGUAGAAUGUGUCAUGUCACGAGUUUGUGGAUCGGUUCACUUUCUUACGAACGUAUGCACGCUUCGUGACGGAUCUUUAUUCAAUUCCUCGUUGAUGUAAUAGGGCAUUACCGACACGAGAAACCGGCCGAACAGGAAAAAGAGUGGAAAUUUGAUCGCAUUGUUUUUAUUUCCUAGAAUGAUGUGAUAAUGGCAAAUUAAAGAGUGCAGAAAUCGUAUCUUUCCUCGCUAUGUGUCAAACUGAACGACGAUGAUUUCCAAAGAAAAUCCUGGUAAGAGUCUCGCUUCUCAUAGCUCGUUUUCUAUAUCAAAAAUCUAUGUCAAUCUUGUUCGUUCGUUUUUAUUUAACUUUCUUGGUCAAGGACAUUUUUAAUUACUUAUAACAUAAUCAGCAUUAUAUAAGUCGAACAGAAAUUACUUUAGUUCAUUGAUCACUUUAAUGUUAUCUGUUUAUACAACGUGUCUCGUUAUUCAUAAUAAUCAGGCAAAAGAUUCUUCAUGAAAAAAUAAAAUAUAAAGAAUUUUCUUCAUUCGAAGCUUCAUUUUCGAAUAAAUAAAAUUUGAAAAAUUUUUAAAUACAAGUAAAAUCUCAAAAUUCAUUUCUUUUCCAACUUCUAACUUUUUUUCGUCAUUCCAAGCUAGUGAAUUUAUCGUUCCAAAUAUUCGAAGCUAACAGGAAGUACGAAUAAUAUCACGUAUCGAAUAGUCGAUCUCGAUCGCGUACGUGACAUUGAACAAGGGUAAGACUUAAAAUUUUUACGCACACCCAAUAUAUGCAAUGUGUCCCAGUUCCUUGGUUCACUUCGAGCACGUGCAAACCAGUUUCGAUGCAGUGUGUCUUGUACAAAUACUUUCUGCCGGCGUUUCUCAGUUAAUGACACGCAUAGACUUCCGAUUUGAUGUUAUCGUCCGUUCAACAGUACAACGCACGAUCAGUAUCGAUAAACGUUGACAAUAUUAAACAAUUAUAUUUAAUUUUUAAUUGUUUAAAUUUGCAACAAUUUUCAAAUAUCAUCGACAAUAAGCUGUUUGUGAUAAAAACAGGUUUAACCUGUCGUCUAAGAAAACAAAUAAAAAUGAAACUAAGACAUAAUCGAUGUAGUUUUCGCUAAUUUCAAUUUUAUUUUUUUUUUCAAUCUUGCAGAUGAUUCGAGUAGAAACGAUACGGUUCAUUCAGCCUACUUCGACAUUCGAGUUUCUCCUUUUUCUCGCCAUUCGUCUAAUCACUUCUUAUUCGCUAUCGCUCUUCGAAAUCUCGGAUAUUAAUAAAAUUUCCAUAAAACAGUUAGCCAAAACGAGUAUAUUCAAUAUAUAUAUAUAUAUGUUUUAAAUAUUUAAUCGAAAGGAUUUCGAAGUGUGUUACUAUUAUGGAAAUUCUUCUAGGUCGACGAGUGGAAUCGUGUGUACGUAGUGUUGGGGAAUUCUACGUACUGGUACUAAUAUCUAGGCUGUCUGGAGCGUGGCCGUUCUUCCUCCAUGGGUAUCGAGGGCCACGACGAAAAAGAAGGAGGAAAAAGACGAGGCCGUUUCUAUGAACGAGCACGAUCGUUUUCGGUGGUCGUCGAGCGACUAAGCCGGUCGUCGCUCUACCUGCCCAGUGGCCAGAUCGAUAGUAGGUCAAUGGAAUUCAUCCGACCACGUUCGCCAUCGUGUCUCCAUUGACCCAUCCGAUUCUUCCUCAUGAUCAUGAAAUUUAGACGAGAUCACUGUGAAACGAAGGAUUGAUCGAAGAGAAUUGAAAUUACAUUGAAAUUGAUAUUUCUCUCAUUGAAGAAAUACCGAAAACAGUCAUUGAACUGUUGUACGACUGUUGCUUAUCGUACGUUCCUCAUGAAUGUAGGUUAUUGGCAUGGAAGCGGCUGUUUCCAAUAAUGGGAACACCUUCACCAACGAUCUAUUAGUGAAAACACCAAGGUGGAGCUGGUUAAGAAUUCGUAACAAUGUUUAUGAGAUGGCUACUUGAUCCAUGACGUUUAUGAAUAACUUCAGAAUAAAACAGUAGAAUAAUUAAUAGAGAAUUGGAGUAGAAAUAGCUUUUGUCCAGGAGAAUCAAGACAAACAGUCAACACCGGCACUCAGGUAAAAAUUUAGAAUAGAAAUUAUAAUAUCAUUCUAGAAAGGCAAAGGAUGUAAAUGAAAUUUCAGUUACUCAUUGGAAAUCGCUCGGCUGUUGGCUUAUACUUCGUUCCAGAUGACUAUGCCAUCAUUUCCUAGUCAAAUCUCAAACUUUGCUACGUCUUUCACAACAGUUAACCUCGAUACGAAA